Bombus pascuorum is the source of this 2043-nucleotide long non-coding RNA. RefSeq lists it as uncharacterized. The transcript has 4 exons. The record is from RefSeq and is a predicted model, not a curated record. NCBI's taxonomy places the organism in Eukaryota, Metazoa, Arthropoda, Insecta, Hymenoptera, Apidae.
GUUCAUUUAACAGGAUAGAGGGGAAGGAAAAACGGUCGCCAUAUUUUGGGCGGAGACUGCGAUACAUUUGCCUGUUUCAUUGGAUGAAAAGAUCGAUCUGGUGCAUCAGCUGCACGCGCCUGCCCAGUGAACAUUCUCUGAUACCUUGCGACUCGUUUCACUUAGCGGGAGUACUGUACCGAGUACCGUUUCAACCCCCUAAAAGCGAUACUCAUUGCUUUCUAGAAAAAGUGUACGCUUCGAGUACCUUUAUUGGAAGAAAACUGUACUGAAACAUUUUCCAGACAGUUCUGGAAUAGUCUUAUGUAAUUAUGGGAGGUAGGAUUCAGAGGAACAACGAUGCAUUUAUUCUGCUGAAGUUUCUGAGAGCCAGUUUCUUUUCACGGUGUCGCUAUCGGAAUCGAAAUCUCCGGGCAAAUAAACAGCGCACGAGUUCCCAGCCAUUGAUCGUGAGCAAUAUAAAUACUUACUUCCUACGUGAUGUAGGUACGAUUCUGAGAAAUAGGCUUGUCAUAUAUGUAUACAUGCCACUGAUUACGUAAUACGAGGCUACGUGAUUUAGGCAGGCUGCUGAUAACGACUGUGAAAUAGAAGAGCUUACGUUUCUUGGACCAUCUAAUCAACCAAAAUUCUUGCUUCGUUUUAAAUUGCGUACCAUUGGCUAUAUAAUACUUAAUCUGUUAACAACAUAACAUAGACUAUCAAAACAAUGAAAGAGAUACCGUAAUGGUUAGAAACAAUUUGAAAGAAAUAGCCAUGAAAUAUUCGACAAGUGGUCAUUGACCACAAAAUAAACAUCCAACAUCAAGCAUUGAGAAAGUUAAAAAAUAAACUUUCUUUAAACAAUCAGUACAAGGACGAGAAUUGAAAGAAUAGAAAUUAAUUAAGGUCCCUUUUAUAUGAAAUACAUCUAUCCGCCUAUGAACCUUCAUCAUCAGUAAAUUAGUCUGGAAAAAUAUCUAUUUCUGACUUUGCUCUUCAAAUAUAUUCAAGUCGACUAUUCUACAACAUAAUUUAUAAUUAGAUUGUUCUACAUUACGAUUCUUAUUGAUUUCAUACAUUGACUGAAAAUAAGAAAUUUGAACGACGAGUUAAAAUUUCGAUUAGGUCCAAUUAGUUGAAAAAAGAAGAAAGAAAGAAAAACGACAGCCGGAUAUUUUUCAAUGGUGAUAACGGAUUGUUGAUCGAAGGCUAAGACUCACCGGGCUGAAUGUUGUCACUGUAACAGUGUAUUGUUAGAGCAGUACAAUGAGCGUGUUUAACAAUACCGGCGACCGAUCCGGCCGAUUGUUUCCUCGCCUCUUAACGUUACUGUUGCCAUUAGCCGCGGCGAUUGCGAUUAAUUCGCUACUAAAACAACGUGCGCCUUGCCUGUCCAAUUAUUAUCACGUGCACGAUACUCUAUUACAUGCGAACUAAUCAUAUCGAAAGGUAUAUACUGAGACUCCAGAUAAUUUGUUGCAAAUUAUUUUCAACUAGACCGUCGAUAUUUUUUUAUUAUCUUGGAUCAUUAUGAACAAAGGAUAAGGUCACGCUUAUGAAGGGACGAUAAAUUAUUAGGAAACUCAAUCCUUCGAACCCUUUAAAAAUUAUGACUGACCCAACAAGCGUAAGGAAACACGAAGAAAAAGAGAAUUCUUGUUUUGAUUAGGGAAUGUCAAAGCAAACUGACUCCGGAACACUGGGCUGCCCUUUCUUUCAGUCUCUCCCUACCAAUUUUAUUGGCUUUUUAUGGUGGUUUGUCAUGACUGGUCGUGGUCACGUUCUACAGUCUACAGUAACGCAUUGCAAGCUAUUGUGUCAUGGUUGUAUGUACUUCUUAACUUGUUAAGGGAAGUAUAGAAUCGUAGAAUUGUUUAAAAUUGUUGACUCCUUCUAUUGUUUAAUUAAAUCUCGUGUCACUUUAUUUAGGUAUAAUACAAUAUAGUAUGUACAAUACAAUACAGAGUACAAAAUACUCAUAUUAAACUGUAACAAUAAUAUUAUCGCAGAAUAUACUAUAUUACAGAAGUUUAUAAUUUUCUGUAUAAUUUUAGGAUUGUA